CUUUUAUCGGAGGGUUGAUGCCAAUGCUCUGGGCUUAUGCUCGGUUCACUGGCUCAUCUCUUUCUGAUUCUACCCAUGUUUUUUGCGUACUACUUGUUUCCUUGGUAGGCUUGCCUACCAAUAGGACAUAUUAAAACCUUUUGUAAUUGCAGUCAGCGUCAGUAACAAUGUAAUAAUUACAACUUUCAACAACGGAUCUCUUGGUUCU
This 208-nucleotide unclassified non-coding RNA is filed under the name rhizosphere metagenome. RNAcentral's name for it is "partial ribosomal RNA internal transcribed spacer region". The record is from RNAcentral.